This 254-nucleotide ribosomal RNA is filed under the name uncultured bacterium. Its description in RNAcentral is "partial 16S ribosomal RNA". It matches the Rfam family "Bacterial small subunit ribosomal RNA", at positions 524 to 776 of the family's 1533-position model. The record is from RNAcentral.
UACGAAGGGGGCUAGCGUUGCUCGGAAUCACUGGGCGUAAAGCGCACGUAGGCGGACUCUUAAGUCGGGGGUGAAAUCCUGGAGCUCAACUCCAGAACUGCCUUCGAUACUGAGAGUCUUCGAGUUCGGGAGAGGUGAGUGGAACUGCGAGUGUAGAGGUGAAAUUCGUAGAUAUUCGGAAGAACACCAGUGGCGAAGGCGGCUCACUGGACCGGCAUUGACGCUGAGGUGCGAAAGCGUGGGGAGCAAACAGG